GACGAACGCUGGCGGCGUGCUUAACACAUGCAAGUCGUACGGUAAGGCCCUUUCGGGUGUGCACGAGUUGCGAACGGAAGAGUAACACGUGAGUAACCUGCCCACAACCUUGGGAUAAGGCUAGGGAACUGGUGCUAGUACUGGAUAUGUUCUCCUGCGGCAUGGUGGUGGUUGGAAAGCUGCGGCGGUUGUGGAUGGACGCGCGGGCGAGCGGCUUGUUUGUGGGGUAGUGGCCUACCAAGGCGGCGACGGGUGGCCGGCCUGAGAGGGUGACCGGGCCCCGUGGGACUGAGAUACGGCCCAGACCCCUGCGGGAGGCAGCAGUGGGGAAUAUUGCAUGAUGGGCGGACGCCGGAUGCAGCAACGCGGCGUGCGGGAUGACGGCCUUCGUGUUGUAAACCGCUUUCCGCAGGGACGAAGCUUUUUGUGACGGUACCUGCAGAAGAAGCACCGGCUAACUACGUG
This 465-nucleotide ribosomal RNA is filed under the name uncultured bacterium. RNAcentral describes it as "partial 16S ribosomal RNA". It matches the Rfam family "Bacterial small subunit ribosomal RNA", at positions 28 to 507 of the family's 1533-position model. The record is from RNAcentral.